UACGGAGGGGGCUAGCGUUGUUCGGAAUUACUGGGCGUAAAGGGCUCGUAGGUGGCCAACUAAGUCAGACGUGAAAUCCCCAGGCUCAACCUGGGAACUGCGUCUGAUACUGGAUGGCUUGAAUUCGGGAGAGGGAUGUGGAAUUCCAGGUGUAGCGGUGAAAUGCGUAGAUAUCUGGAGGAACACCGGUGGCGAAGGCGGCAUCCUGGACCGGCAUUGACGCUGAGGCGCGAAAGCCAGGAGAGCAAACGGG
This 253-nucleotide ribosomal RNA is filed under the name uncultured bacterium. RNAcentral's name for it is "partial 16S ribosomal RNA". It matches the Rfam family "Bacterial small subunit ribosomal RNA", at positions 524 to 776 of the family's 1533-position model. The record is from RNAcentral.